This 406-nucleotide ribosomal RNA is filed under the name uncultured bacterium. RNAcentral's name for it is "partial 16S ribosomal RNA". It matches the Rfam family "Bacterial small subunit ribosomal RNA", at positions 30 to 526 of the family's 1533-position model. The record is from RNAcentral.
AUUGAACGCUGGCGGCAUGCUUUACACAUGCAAGUCGGACGAGUGGAGCACGGGUGAGUAAUAUAUCGGAACGUACCGAGUAAUGGGGGAUAACUACUCGCAAGCUUAGCUCAUAACGCAUAUUAUUCGAGCGGCCGAUAUCUGGUUAUCUAGUUGUGUGGGUAAAGGCAUACGAAGGCGACGAUCAGUCGCGGGGCUGAGAGGAUGAUCCGCCACACUGGGACGGAGCCACGGCCCAGAGUCCUACGGGAGGCAGCAGUGGGGAAUUUGGGACAAUGGGCGCAAUCCUGAUCCAGCCAUGCCGCGUGUCUGAAGAAGGCCUUCGGGUUGUAAAGGACUUUUGUCAGGGAAGCGGGACCUGAAGAAUAAGCACCGGCUAACUACGUGCCAGCAGCCGCGGUAAUUC